Oppia nitens is the source of this 161-nucleotide long non-coding RNA. RefSeq lists it as uncharacterized. The transcript has 3 exons. The record is from RefSeq and is a predicted model, not a curated record. NCBI's taxonomy places the organism in Eukaryota, Metazoa, Arthropoda, Arachnida, Sarcoptiformes, Oppiidae.
CAAAAACACAAUUUAGUCACAACUAAGACAACCACCGGAUCAACACAAUUGGGAACGAAAUCAACGAUUAGACAUCAGUGGACACAUUGACGACAACAAUGGCUUCAAAUAAGUCACGUUAUUGAUGUCCAUUUUGGUUGAUAUUAGUAUUUUCUAUUCUU